Molecule: ribosomal RNA, 246 nt
Filed under: uncultured bacterium
Lineage: Bacteria
Description: partial 16S ribosomal RNA
Rfam family: Bacterial small subunit ribosomal RNA
Source: RNAcentral
GAAGGGGGCUAGCGUUGCUCGGAAUUACUGGGUGUAAAGGGAGCGUAGGUGGCAGGGCAAGUCAGAUGUGAAAACCCGGGGCUCAACUCCGGGAUUGCAUUUGAAACUGUCCGGCUGGAGUGCAGGAGAGGUAAGUGGAAUUCCUAGUGUAGCGGUGAAAUGCAUAGAUAUUAGGAGGAACACCAGUGGCGAAGGCGGCUUACUGGACUGUAACUGACACUGAGGCUCGAAAGCGUGGGGAGCAAA